This 327-nucleotide ribosomal RNA is filed under the name uncultured bacterium. Its description in RNAcentral is "bacterial SSU rRNA". It matches the Rfam family "Bacterial small subunit ribosomal RNA", at positions 32 to 339 of the family's 1533-position model. The record is from RNAcentral.
AAUCAACGCUGGCGGCGUGCCUCGGACAUGCAAGUCGAACGCGAAAGUUCCCUUCGGGGGGCGAGUAGAGUGGCGCACGGGUGAGUAACACGUAGGUAAUCUACCUUUGGGUGGGGAAUAACAGCCGGAAACGGCUGCUAAUACCGCAUAAUGCAGCGGCUCGACAUCGAGACAGUUGUUAAAGCGGGGGAUCGCAAGACCUCGCGCCUAAAGAGGAGCCUGCGGCGGAUAGCUUGUUGGUGAGGUAAUGGCUCACCAAGGCAUCGAUCCGUAGCCGGCCUGAGAGGGCGGUCGGCCACACUGACACUGACAUACGGGUCAGACUCC